RNAcentral lists this ribosomal RNA (490 nucleotides) under uncultured bacterium. RNAcentral describes it as "partial 16S ribosomal RNA". It matches the Rfam family "Bacterial small subunit ribosomal RNA", at positions 30 to 507 of the family's 1533-position model. The record is from RNAcentral.
AUUGAACGCUGGCGGCAGGCCUAACACAUGCAAGUCGAACGGUAACAGGAAGAAGCUUGCUUCUUUGCUGACGAGUGGCGGACGGGUGAGUAAUAUCUGGGAAACUGCCUGAUGGAGGGGGAUAACUACUGGAAACGGUAGCUAAUACCGCAUAACGUCGCAAGACCAAAGAGGGGGACCUUCGGGCCUCUUGCCAUCGGAUGUGCCCAGAUGGGAUUAGCUUGUUGGUGGGGUAACGGCUCACCAAGGCGACGAUCCCUAGCUGGUCUGAGAGGAUGACCAGCCACACUGGAACUGAGACACGGUCCAGACUCCUACGGGAGGCAGCAGUGGGGAAUAUUGCACAAUGGGCGCAAGCCUGAUGCAGCCAUGCCGCGUGUAUGAAGAAGGCCUUCGGGUUGUAAAGUACUUUCAGCGGGGAGGAAGGGAGUAAAGUUAAUACCUUUGCUCAUUGACGUUACCCGCAGAAGAAGCACCGGCUAACUCCGUG